CAGGAGAAGGUUGGAAGGUAGAGGUGACUCCUGCUGCUCAAACACCUGGAACUGCUGGCUGGAUGCUGAGCGGCUUGCAGAUCCCUCUCUAGUGUGAAAUGGACAGUAAGAUUCAAAGCCAAGUGUGAGCUGAGAACAUCUGCUGCCCAGGGAGCUGGGGGAGUCCCUGUCCUUGGAGGGCAAAUAGAUCUUAUGGAACAGACUCAGAAAUAAGUGAAGCCUUUUGUGAUGCUGUCGAGGCUCCUGAGAAAGCCAGAAAGAGAGGGCCACCCCUCUGGGAAGUGAUUUUUGUCAUCCUGAAGUCCUACCAAAAAAGCAGUUUGUUGAAUCACCCUAUGGAGAUGCCAACAUCUUUCUGAUAAAAUUUCAGGGCAGCAGAUGACCACUUUAGACAACCAGACCAACUUUUGGUUGAUUAGUGCACUCCAGUCACAUUUUCAGGCUAAAGUCUUCUUUAAUGAAAGCUGGAAUCCUUGCACAACCACUUGCUUCCAGAUGCUGAGGAUUACAGUAAAACACUAAAUAUUGCAAGACUUACGGUACAAUUGCAAGAGUUGGCAGCGGUGAAGAAGUGGACCAGGACUGAGAGAAAGGGAAAAAAUAAUGGGAGACAAUUAAGAAAAGAGCUAAUUUAGAGUGAAUACCGAGAAAGGAAUUUCAGGAAACAAUACUUUCCAAUAAAUUCUCUGAGGCUAUGGAACAGUCUAAAGAGAGAAAGACGGGUUCAAUGUGACCAAAACCCUACCAGUGUGUUGUUGGGAACAUUCCUGUUAUUGGAUUGUUGCAUGAAAUGAUUUUUCGUGUCUUGUUUUGCAUUGAUCUUUCUCCCUUCCUUUUUAAUUGUGAGAAACGCUCAUUUGCUUUUUAAAAUUUCCUUUUUUCUUUCUUUUUUUUUUCUUUUUUCUUUUUUCUUUUUUCUUUUUUUCCCUGUAUGCAUUAAAGAGAUCAGAGCAUGGAUCUAAUCUGUGUGUUGGCUAAUUAUGUCACUUCACUUGUCAGCCCAGGGACCAGAGGGUCUGCAGAGGGUUUUCAGGGUACCAAACAGGCAGUAUUUGUUCUGACCAGCGGAGCACAUCCAGCACAACAAAACAACAGCUACUGGAAAGAAUUGGAGUCCGGUUCCCAGUGGCUGUUUGAAAGUUUAUUUGUAAAUCUCA
Long non-coding RNA from Gallus gallus (chicken), 1157 nucleotides. RefSeq lists it as uncharacterized. The record is from RefSeq and is a predicted model, not a curated record. NCBI's taxonomy places the organism in Eukaryota, Metazoa, Chordata, Aves, Galliformes, Phasianidae. The transcript is spliced from 3 exons.